RNAcentral lists this ribosomal RNA (844 nucleotides) under uncultured fungus. RNAcentral describes it as "SSU rRNA". It matches the Rfam family "Eukaryotic small subunit ribosomal RNA", at positions 564 to 1440 of the family's 1831-position model. Lineage: Eukaryota; Fungi. The record is from RNAcentral.
GUGCCAGCAGCCGCGGUAAUUCCAGCUCCAAUAGCGUAUAUUAAAGUUGUUGUGGUUAAAAAGCUCGUAGUUGAACCUUGGGCCUGGCUGGCCGGUCCGCCUCACCGCGUGCACUGAUCCGGCCGGGCCUUUCCCUCUGUGGAACCCCAUACCCUUCACUGGGCGUGGCGGGGAAACAGGACAUUUACUUUGAAAAAAUUAGAGUGCUCCAGGCAGGCCUAUGCUCGAAUACAUUAGCAUGGAAUAAUAAAAUAGGACGCGCGGUUCUAUUUUGUUGGUUUAUAGGACCGCCGUAAUGAUUAAUAGGGACAGUCGGGGGCAUCAGUAUUCAACUGUCAGAGGUGAAAUUCUUGGAUCAGUUGAAGACUAACUACUGCGAAAGCAUUUGCCAAGGAUGUUUUCAUUAAUCAGGAACGAAAGUUAGGGGAUCGAAGACGAUCAGAUACCGUCGUAGUCUUAACCAUAAACUAUGCCGACUAGGGAUCGGACGGUGUUAUUCAUGACCCGUUCGGCACCUUACGAGAAAUCAAAGUGCUUGGGCUCCAGGGGGAGUAUGGUCGCAAGGCUGAAACUUAAAGAAAUUGACGGAAGGGCACCACCAGGGGUGGAGCCUGCGGCUUAAUUUGACUCAACACGGGGAAACUCACCAGGUCCAGACACAAUAAGGAUUGACAGAUUGAGAGCUCUUUCUUGAUUUUGUGGUGGUGCUGCAUGGCCGUUCUUAGUUGGUGGGGUGACUUGUCUGCUUAAUUGCGAUACGAACGAGACCUUAACCUGCUAAAUAGCCCGCAUUGCUCCGGCAGUGCGCUGGCUUCUUAGAGGGACUUUCGGCUCAAGCCGAAGG